This 287-nucleotide small RNA is filed under the name Limnothrix sp. P13C2. Its description in RNAcentral is "5' ureB small RNA". It matches the Rfam family "5' ureB small RNA". The record is from Rfam by way of RNAcentral. Lineage: Bacteria; Bacillati; Cyanobacteriota; Cyanophyceae; Pseudanabaenales; Pseudanabaenaceae.
CCGUUUCGAUUUGUUGGGGACAGAUGAAGUGGAUGUGGGUGUCAAUGCCGCCGGCCGUGACGAUCGCCCCUUCACCCGCAAUGAUUUCCGUGCCGGGGCCGAUGAUGAUGUCCACGCCCGCUUGAGUGUAGGGGUUGCCGGCCUUCCCGAUCACCGCGAUUUUGCCCUGCUUAAUGCCAAUGUCGGCUUUAAUUACACCCCACCAAUCGAGGAUCACGGCAUUCGUAAUCACCGUAUCCAUCGCCCCGUCACUGUUAGUAAUGGGCGAUUGACCCAUACCAUCCCGA